UUUGCUAGAAUCCUGGCACUGUUACUUAUUCCUUGUAUGUCUCUAGGACUUACAAACCCCAGUGACUAUAUUGCUGGGAGGACUGAGCUGACUUUCGAAAGUGAGGGUGGCAUGCAGUCCUUAACAUCUCUGGUCUUUAACAACUCCCAUGGAUACCCCUGGCCUCGUGUGAGAGAGAACCACAGACCUGGAACCAGACCUGGGCUUCUACCUUGGGUCCUGCAUGCCCUACCUCAAUGAUCUUGGUGACAUGGCUUGGCUCUUUGUCCCCACACAAAUCUCAUGUUGAAUUGUGAACCCCAGUGUUGGAGAUGGGGCCUGGUGGGAGGUGAUUGGAUCAUGGGGGUGGUUUCUAAUGGUUUAGCACCAUCCCGCUAGUGCUGUCUUGUGAUGGAGUUCUUUUUUUUUUUUUUUUUGAGAUAGAGUCUCGCUCUGUUGCCAGGCUGGAGUGCAGUGGUGUGAUCUCAGCUCACUGCAAC
This 479-nucleotide long non-coding RNA is filed under the name Pan troglodytes (chimpanzee). Its description in RNAcentral is "long non-coding RNA NONPTRT001317". The record is from RNAcentral. Lineage: Eukaryota; Metazoa; Chordata; Mammalia; Primates; Hominidae.